Molecule: ribosomal RNA, 856 nt
Filed under: uncultured archaeon
Lineage: Archaea
Description: bacterial SSU rRNA
Rfam family: Archaeal small subunit ribosomal RNA
Source: RNAcentral
GUCACGUAGCAAUGCGUGGCGAACGGCUCAGUAACACGUAGUCAACAUGCCCAGGGGACGUGGAUAACCUCGGGAAACUGAGAUUAAACCGCGAUAGGUCAAGAUUUCUGGAAUGGAUCUUGGCUUAAAUCUACAUGGCCCCUGGAUUGGACUGCGGCCGAUCAGGCUGUUGGUGAGGUAAUGGCCCACCAAACCUAUAACCGGUACGGGCUCUGAGAGGAGAAGCCCGGAGAUGGGCACUGAGACAAGGGCCCAGGCCCUAUGGGGCGCAGCAGGCGCGAAACCUCUGCAAUGGGCGAAAGCCUGACAGGGUUACUCUGAGUGAUUUCCGUUAAGGAGACCUUUUAGCACCUCUAAAAAUGGUGCAGAAUAAGGGGUGGGCAAGUCUGGUGUCAGCCGCCGCGGUAAUACCAGCACCCCGAGUGGUCGGGACGAUUAUUGGGCCUAAAGCAUCCGUAGCCGGUUGUGCAAGUCCUCCGUUAAAUCCAGCCGCUCAACGGAUGGGCUGCGGAGGAUACUACAGGACUAGGAGGCGGGAGAGGCAAGCGGUACUUAGUGGGUAGGGGUAAAAUCCUUUGAUCCAUUGAAGACCACCAGUGGCGAAGGCGGCUUGCCAGAACGCGCUCGACGGUGAGGGAUGAAAGCUGGGGGAGCAAACCGGAUUAGAUACCCGGGUAGUCCCAGCUGUAAACGAUGCAGACUCGGUGAUGGGCUAGCCUCGUGUCAGCCCAGUGCCGCAGGGAAGCCGUUAAGUCUGCCGCCUGGGGAGUACGGUCGCAAGACUGAAACUUAAAGGAAUUGGCGGGGGAGCACCACAAGGGGUGAAGCCUGCGGUUCAAUUGGAUUCAACGCCGGG